GACGAACGCUGGCGGCGUGCCUAAUACAUGCAAGUCGAACGCACUCUCGUUUAGAUUGAAGGAGCUUGCUCCUGAUUGAUAAACAUUUGAGUGAGCGGCGGACGGGUGAGUAACACGUGGGUAACCUGCCCUAAAGUGGGGGAUAACAUUUGGAAACAGAUGCCAAUACCGCAUAAAACCUAACACCGCAUGGUGUAGGGUUGAAAGAUGGUUUCGGCUAUCACUUUAGGAUGGACCCGCGGUGCAUUAGUUAGUUGGUGAGGUAAAGGCUCACCAAGACCGUGAUGCAUAGCCGACCUGAGAGGGUAAUCGGCCACACUGGGACUGAGACACGGCCCAGACUCCUACGGGAGGCAGCAGUAGGGAAUCUUCCACAAUGGACGAAAGUCUGAUGGAGCAACGCCGCGUGAGUGAAGAAGGUUUUCGGAUCGUAAAACUCUGUUGUUGGAGAAGAAUGUAUCUGAUAGUAACUGAUCAGGUAGUGACGGUAUCCAACCAGAAA
Molecule: ribosomal RNA, 502 nt
Filed under: uncultured bacterium
Lineage: Bacteria
Description: bacterial SSU rRNA
Rfam family: Bacterial small subunit ribosomal RNA
Source: RNAcentral